This 2075-nucleotide long non-coding RNA is filed under the name Pongo abelii (Sumatran orangutan). Its description in RNAcentral is "lincRNA". Lineage: Eukaryota; Metazoa; Chordata; Mammalia; Primates; Hominidae. The record is from RNAcentral.
GAGUCUUGUGGCGCGGUGGGGCGCGGACCCGGAACCGCCAAGUGGUGAAGGCGCCUCCAGGUGGUGCCCGCUGGUCUGUAGGGUGUCAGCGGCGCUGUCUUCCUGCGAUACCGGAGCGCACAAAAUACUUGGUCCCCAGACCGAGAACGCACCUCUACCUGGGUCCUGGGCCCCAUUUCACAGACUGAGAUGCGUGAAGCGCCUCCUUUAGAAGAGCUGACGAUUCUUAACAAACCAAGUUUUGCAUGAUUUUGGUGAGGCGGCGCUACCCCAGGAACGCCUGGAGGGCCUGCACCACGAAACUGGACAGCCAUGGAUGUGUAACCUCUUUUUGGGCCUGAGAGACAGACCUUUCUCUCCACUCAGAGCUCCGGCUUCAGCUAUUGUGCUUCAGAAUGCCACUACCAUCAGAUAUGCCAUCUACAGAACUUAACACCUGAGCACCCACCCUUCAGGGCCACCCAUGGGCCCAAAACGGGAUAAAGGAGCCAUUCCCUGACAUAGGAGGAAAACAUUCGCUGAGAAGCCACUGUGUGCCAGACACAAUCUUGGACUUUCACUUAAUCCUCAAAACAGCCCUAGGAAGAAGUACCUACCGUUAACAGAUAAGAAAGCUGAGACCCACGGUUUACAUAGCUAAGGAGAGCAAAGGUUUUAACCCAGGACUAUCCUGACUCCACAGCAUCAAAGUUGUUGUUUUGUUUUUGGUGUUUUGUAGAAAUAGGAUCUCCCUAUUAUUACCCAGGCUGGUCUCAAACUCCUGGGCUCCAGCAGUGUUCCCACCUCAGCCUCUCAAAGUGCUGGGAUUACAGGCAAGAGCCACCACACCUGGCUGAUGAAUAGGAAUUGGGUACACAUUUUUGAAAAUUAAAUACCAAAUUACCAUUACACAAUGCCGAACAUCCCUCCUUUGUCCCGUUCCCAGGAUUUUUUCCAGAAGAUGGACUCACAUUAUGAUGGCCCCUUUUUUCCACAGAAUGUUCCCAAUGAAAAUUUCUGAAAUGAUGGGAAUGUUCUAAAUAUGUGCUGUCCGAAAUAGUAACCAUUAGCCACAUAUGGCUAUUGAGCACUUUAAAUGUGGCUAGCAUAACUGAAAGGCCAACUUUUUAUUUAAAUUUAAAUUUAGAUAGCAAACCGUGGCUAAUCAUAAUAAUAGCUUAAGAGAGAAAUGGUGAGCAGGGUUACUGGGAGAGGUAUUUUCCUAUAAGCUCUGGAUAUACAGUUGACCCAUGAACAACAAGGGUUUGAACUGCAUGGGUCCACUAAUACAACCCUUGUUUUGUUUUGUUUUGUUUUCAAUAAAUACAGUCAGCCUUCCCUAUCAGAGGGUUCCACAUCCACGAUGAAACAUGGUUGGAAAAUACGGUAUGGGAUGUGAAACCUGCGUAUAGGGUGGGCUGACUUUUCAUUUCCAUAGGUUCUGCAGGGUCAACUAUAGUACAUGAGUAUACUCACAUUUUAGUAUCCUAAUAGAUCCUGGAACCAAUACCUGGCGGAAAAUGGGGAACAAUUGCAUAACAGUAUUCAAGGGACUGGGUAUGAUGGCUUGCACCUGUAAUCCCAGCACUUUUGGAGGCCAAGGCAGAACAGGAGUUCAAGACCAGCCUGGGAAAUAUGGUGAAACCCCUUUUCUACAAAAAACUUAGCCAAGCAUGGCAUAUUUGUGUAAUGCCAUUUGCAUGACCCACAUGGUCACCCUGGACCCCGUGGAUCAGGCCCUGCCUGGUGCCACCACCACCACUUCUGUGCCAGGCCCCCAGCGUGAUGGCAAGUUGCAUGAUGCUCUUUGCCGUAGUGCCUUUUAAUGGCAUAGCUUUGGCAGGUUUGGAGAUGUUCAGAAUAGGCAAAUCUAUAGAGCCUGUGGUGGAUUUGUGGUUGUCUAAGGCCCUGGUGGAAGGGAGCAUAGGUGAAUUGGAGGGGACGAUUAAAAGGUGUGAGAUUUCAUUUUGGGGUGAUGAAAAUGUUCUAAAAUUGGUUGUGGUAAUGGUUAUACAACUCUGAAUAUACUAAAAGGCAUUGAAUUGUACACUUUCAAUAUGUGAGUUAUAUCUCAAUAAAGUUAUUUUACAAAAAAA